Passer domesticus (house sparrow) is the source of this 848-nucleotide long non-coding RNA. RefSeq lists it as uncharacterized. The record is from RefSeq and is a predicted model, not a curated record. The transcript has 3 exons. Lineage: Eukaryota; Metazoa; Chordata; Aves; Passeriformes; Passeridae.
AUUCCGCCCUGCCACGUGCCGGGACAUCUCCCACCAGAUCAAGGUGCCCAAGAGCACCAGAUCAAGAACUUCCCUGCAGACUCUCUCAGACACUGGAAGGUUGCCGAGUUCCCCACACCACCUUCUCUUCUCCAGGCUGAACAGCCCCAAAUUUCUCCAUCUUUGUAGGCGGAAUGCUCCAGUUCUCUUAACAACUUCGAGGUCCCCUCUGGACUUGCUCCAAGAGUUCCAUGUCCUCCUUGUACUGGGGACACCAGAACUGUGUGCAGUGCUCCAGGAACCCAGCUAUGGCUGAGGGCAGAGUUGGAGUGCACAGAACUCCAGCCAUUGCCCAGGAGCCACAAACAUCUUCAGUCGUGGAGCUGCAUUCAGAACACACUGCUUAAAGACAGACAAGACGUUCAGAAACCAGCAACAGCAAGCUGAAAUACCACACUGGCACAACCAGAAUGUUUCUUCUUCUGUGCUACCUUGUUCAGCAACAUCUGAAGAAACUGCCUCUCACUGAACUGUAGCACACUGACCUCCUCAAAAACCCAAACAGGUUAUGAGAAUGCCUUAAAACACAGCUGGAUCGCUCACAGGCAGACUAUACUUUGACCACACAAGUAUGGUUUACAGAUUAUGGAAGUUACAGAAACACAUAGCAAAGAGCUCCCGACAGCCUGAAGUAUGUAUCAGCAGAAAGAGCUUCCAAGGGACCUCUCCAUCUCUGCAGUGCUGAAAAACUUCCAGGGAAAAUCUUCCUGGAUACUGACGAUCUCAUCUAACUCAGCCAGCUGCUUCAUUGUGGGAAAGUACCCAUUCACAGAAAAAAUAUUCAUAACCACAAAAUUUUACCCCUAAAA